This 484-nucleotide ribosomal RNA is filed under the name uncultured bacterium. Its description in RNAcentral is "partial 16S ribosomal RNA". It matches the Rfam family "Bacterial small subunit ribosomal RNA", at positions 29 to 523 of the family's 1533-position model. The record is from RNAcentral.
AGUGAACGCUGGCGGCGUGCUUAACACAUGCAAGUCGAACGAGAACGGAUUAUAGCUUGCUAUAAUUGUCAGCUAAGUGGCGCACGGGUGAGUAAUGUAUAGGUAAUAUGCCUCUUACUAAGGGAUAACAAUUGGAAACGUUUGCUAAUACCUUAUACUCCUUAUUAACAUAAGUUAAUAAGGGAAAGAUGUAUUGGUAAGAGAUUGGCCUGUAUUGUAUCAGUUAGUUGGUGGGGUAAUGGCUUACCAAGACUAUGACACAUAACUGGUUUGAAAGGAUGAUCAGUCAAAAUGGAACUGAGACACGGUCCAGACGCCUACGGGAGGCAGCAGUGGGGAAUAUUGCACAAUGGACGAAAGUCUGAUGCAGCAACGCCGCGUGGAGGAUGACACAUUUCGGUGCGUAAACUCCUUUUAUAUGAGAAGAUAAUGACGGUAUUAUAUGAAUAAGCACCGGCUAACUCCGUGCCAGCAGCCGCCGUAA